Molecule: ribosomal RNA, 465 nt
Filed under: Vreelandella stevensii
Lineage: Bacteria; Pseudomonadati; Pseudomonadota; Gammaproteobacteria; Oceanospirillales; Halomonadaceae
Description: partial 16S ribosomal RNA
Rfam family: Bacterial small subunit ribosomal RNA
Source: RNAcentral
CCUACGGGCGGCAGCAGUGGGGAAUAUUGGACAAUGGGCGAAAGCCUGAUCCAGCCAUGCCGCGUGUGUGAAGAAGGCCUUCGGGUUGUAAAGCACUUUCAGUGGGGAAGAAAGCCUUGGGGCUAAUACCCUCGAGGAAGGACAUCACCCACAGAAGAAGCACCGGCUAACUCCGUGCCAGCAGCCGCGGUAAUACGGAGGGUGCGAGCGUUAAUCGGAAUUACUGGGCGUAAAGCGCGCGUAGGCGGUCUGAUAAGCCGGUUGUGAAAGCCCCGGGCUCAACCUGGGAACGGCAUCCGGAACUGUCAGGCUAGAGUGCAGGAGAGGAGGGUAGAAUUCCCGGUGUAGCGGUGAAAUGCGUAGAGAUCGGGAGGAAUACCAGUGGCGAAGGCGGCCUUCUGGACUGACACUGACGCUGAGGUGCGAAAGCGUGGGUAGCAAACAGGAUUAGAUACCCCUGUAGUC